Molecule: ribosomal RNA, 210 nt
Filed under: bacterium enrichment culture clone ALO1_GLFRUDD03F9TVF
Lineage: Bacteria
Description: partial 16S ribosomal RNA
Rfam family: Bacterial small subunit ribosomal RNA
Source: RNAcentral
GAGUUUGAUCGUGGCUCAGAUUGAACGCUGGCGGCAUGCCUUACACAUGCAAGUCGAACGGCAGCACGGGAGCUUGCUCCUGGUGGCGAGUGGCGAACGGGUGAGUAAUGCAUCGAAACGUAUCCUGGAGUGGGGGAUAACGUAGCGAAAGUUACGCUAAUACCGCAUAUUCUGUGAGCAGGAAAGCGGGGGACCUUCGGGCCUCGCGCU